RNAcentral lists this small nucleolar RNA (96 nucleotides) under Zalophus californianus (California sea lion). RNAcentral's name for it is "Small nucleolar RNA SNORA70 (ENSZCAG00015003037.1)". It matches the Rfam family "Small nucleolar RNA SNORA70", at positions 40 to 135 of the family's 135-position model. From Rfam's summary of the family: snoRNA U70 seems to be exclusive to mammals and is a member of the H/ACA class of snoRNA which contain H (ANANNA) and ACA box motifs. H/ACA box snoRNAs are involved in the conversion of uridines to pseudouridines (5-ribosyluracil) a constituent of structural RNAs (transfer, ribosomal, small nuclear, and small nucleolar). RNAcentral also lists the same sequence under 1 other name. Lineage: Eukaryota; Metazoa; Chordata; Mammalia; Carnivora; Otariidae. The record is from RNAcentral.
GGGCCCAGUGUGCCAUGGCUGCAAACAGUAGCCUCCUUGGUAGUGUAUGCAGCCUGUUGAUUGUAUGGGUUGCCCUAAGGGACCUUGGAGACAGCC